AGAAUCAACGCUGGCGGCGUGCCUAACACAUGCAAGUCGAACGGGAAAGUGGAGCAAUCCAUGAGUAUAGUGGCGACCGGGUGAGUAACACGUGACUAACCUACCCUUGAGUGGGGGAUAACCUCGGGAAACCGGGGCUAAUACCGCAUAAAAUCUUCGGGAUGAGAAGCUGGAGAUCAAAGGAGCAAUUCGCUUUUGGAGGGGGUCGCGGCUGAUUAGCUAGUUGGCGGGGUAACGGCCCACCAAGGCUUUGAUCGGUAUCCGGCCUGAGAGGGCGCACGGACACACUGGAACUGAAACACGGUCCAGACUCCUACGGGAGGCAGCAGUGGGGAAUUUUGCGCAAUGGGGGAAACCCUGACGCAGCAACGCCGCGUGGAGGAUGAAGUCCCUUGGGACGUAAACUCCUUUCGACCGGGAAGAUGAUGACGGUACCGGUGGAAGAAGCCCCGGCUAACUUCGUGCCAGCAGCCGC
Molecule: ribosomal RNA, 475 nt
Filed under: uncultured bacterium
Lineage: Bacteria
Description: SSU rRNA
Rfam family: Bacterial small subunit ribosomal RNA
Source: RNAcentral